This 466-nucleotide ribosomal RNA is filed under the name uncultured bacterium. Its description in RNAcentral is "bacterial SSU rRNA". It matches the Rfam family "Bacterial small subunit ribosomal RNA", at positions 28 to 524 of the family's 1533-position model. The record is from RNAcentral.
GAUGAACGCUGGCGGAGUGCCUAACACAUGCAAGUCGAGCGGCAGCGCGAGUAGUUUACUACUUGGCGGCGAGCGGCGGACGGCUGAGUAACGCGUGGAACAUGCCCCAAAGUGAGGAAUAACUGCCCGAAAGGGUAGCUAAUGCCGCAUACGAUCUUCGGAUUAAAGGAUUUAUCCGCUUUGGGAGUGGCCUGCGUACGAUUAGAUAGUUGGUGAGGUAAUGGCUCACCAAGUCUACGAUCGUUAACUGGUUUGAGAGGAUGAUCAGUCAGACUGGAACUGAGACACGGUCCAGACUCCUACGGGAGGCAGCAGUGAGGAAUCUUCCACAAUGGACGAAAGUCUGAUGGAGCAACUCCGCGUGCAGGAUGAAGGCCUUCGGGUCGUAAACUGCUUUAUGAGUGAAGAAUAUGACGGUAACUCAUGAAUAAGGGUCGGCUAACUACGUGCCAGCAGCCGCGGUAAU